RNAcentral lists this long non-coding RNA (923 nucleotides) under Lonchura striata (white-rumped munia). Its description in RNAcentral is "domestica (Bengalese finch) lncRNA (ENSLSDG00000011366.1)". Lineage: Eukaryota; Metazoa; Chordata; Aves; Passeriformes; Estrildidae. The record is from RNAcentral.
CCGUGCCGGGACUCGCUCCGUGCUGCUGCUGCCGUGCGAGCGAGCGUGCGGGCGAUUCCCGGCGCGGCGGAGCCCGGGAGCCGGGAUUUGCCCGGCGGCACGGACGGGCCCGGCUGCAGGCCAGGAGCGGGAUGCCCACGCAGCGAACAGCCCCCCUCGGCCUGUGUAUCCCCGGGCUCUCUGCCCCCCACUCAAGCUGGGCGCCCUUGAAUUGUAUCGCCUAGUUGAAGUUUAAUAUUUGGGGAUAGGGAGGAGAGUUUCGGCUUCUGUUGUGGCGUCUUUUCUUUUCCUAGCUCGGGACGGGCAGCCGGGGAGGGGAGGCAGCCGCAGCCCCGCCGCUCGGAGGAGCCGAGCGCGGUCGUCUCGUCGCCUGCCCGGUGCCACGGCCCAAAGGGUGACAGCAAGGACGGUGCGCAGGGCUCCGGCCUGUGUCUCUCCAGAGAAAGGACUUUCCAGAGAAACAAAUCAAGAAAAAAUAACUGACUUAAUUUCCCUCCACCCAGCAACAGUUCUUCAUAGCUGUACACAGGGACCAUGGAGCAGCAAGAAGGGUUGUGUGGGACAGAGGCUCCUCGGGUGCUCCCACUGGCAGUAAGUAUCCAGCCCCAAACUGGAACACACCAGAAGUUUACAACCAUGUGAACUCUGGAGAAAAAUCUUAAUAACUCUUGCAUCCAGCCCUCUUCUGUGCUGUGUUUAAUUUGCUCUUUCUCUUUUUCCGAUCCAUUGCUGUGUGUUUCUUCCAUCUCUCCUACCUUUUCUUCUCUUUUUUGCUGUUCCAGUAUUUUCACCACAUCCUUCCCUCUUCUGCAAUGUCCUGAUUUUGGCUGGGAUAAUUUUCUUCCUAGUAGCUGGUACGUUGCUGUGUUUUGAAUUUAGGGUGAGAAGGCUGUGGAUAGCACACUGUUUCAGUUGCUGCUGAG